Non-coding RNA from Podarcis lilfordi (Lilford's wall lizard), 6482 nucleotides. The record is from the annotation of a GenBank genome assembly. NCBI's taxonomy places the organism in Eukaryota, Metazoa, Chordata, Lepidosauria, Squamata, Lacertidae.
CAUACCUGCAAACUUCCAUUGGCAAAACUCCCCCCUCUUUUUGUGAUUCACUAAUUUUAAGCACAAAGGCAUUUCUUGCAAAAGUAUGUGAUGUAUAGGCCUGCAGGUUAGAAAUAGUAAAUCCACAGUGAAAGGUUGAAAUGUCCCCGCCACCCUGGGUGGGUGAGUGGGUUUGCUUUGUUUCAUUUGCUAAGAUAAAAAUGACAUUUGGUUAAAAGCAUUUAUAAACCAAUUAAUAUUUUGAAGAUCUCUAAGUGGUCAAUUGAAGUAAAUAGGAAAUUAUGCAAGUCUUGCAUUUAGAAUGGCUUUCCCUAACAUUCAAGAUGUUUGUUGGACUACUUCACCAUUGGCCAUGCUGCCAGGGGAUGAUGGGAAUCGGAGCCCAGCAAGAUCUGAAGGGCACCAGGUUUGGGAAGACUGGCAUUCAAGUGGAUGCAAAAUACCCUCGAGCUCAGAUAUUCCAUUAUCUUACCUGCCCCUCUAGACGAGCACUAACUGGGAGAACAGAUUUUUAUGUCAAUGAUAUCUCUUCUAGUUGUUUGCUGGAGGGCUCUCCAGCAUCUGCUUUUGAGGACCACUGCCAGGCACCCUGACCAGAUGGUGUUGUGAAGUGGGAGCAUGGGGGAAGCUACUUCAGCAAAAUGCAAAUACAUAGUGGGUAUCCAGGUUAAGGGUGUUGCCAUCAGCCACUUUGACCUUCGUGGUGCCUGCAGUGUCACCCCACACUUUGCAGGGCAUUUAUCCAUCACUUUCCUGAUUACAAGAAGUCCAGUCUUUUGAGGAAGUAGGCUUGUUGUUGAAGACCUCCCAAUCAACUAUAAUUGUGUAACCUGAAUUUGCCAGUCUGUGAUUGUACUUACAGCCAAGAUUAGCAAUAGCCUUGAAGUGCCCGUCACAGUGCUGGUGGGAUCACUGUGUGAACCCUCCAGAUUUUCCUCAGUGGAAAAUCUGCAUGAUUCAGAAAGUAGGUACCCCUUUCUGGUGACUAUUUUCUAGCUCUGAAUUUGACAGCACAUCAAAUUACCUGCAGAAGUUGUACACCAGCGCUGUAAGUGGCAACGACACUGAACAUCAUAAAAUUCACACAAAUUCCUCAGCAUACUAUCACUACAUCUGUGAGAGGACAGGGACAUCUUUUUCUGCAUCCUUCCUUUCCCUGUUUUUGGUAACAUGAAUUUGUAAGCAGUCAAUACACUUGCCACCUACUCGAUCUAAAUGCAAAUUUUGAGCCCACCGUUGCUCUCUUCUCUUUUUAAUGAAAAGAUAUUAAUCUUUUGAGCGAAUGCAUUUUGGUGUGAUCUCUGCAUUACCUUCCCAGGUACCUGUGUUUACAUUUGCUUUUACCAACAAACUCUUUUCUCUCUUAAAGUUUUGUCCUCUGUAAAUUAGAACACUAACCCUGUUUAGGGCUGCUGUUUAGAAGCUAUCUGCUUUGUCUUUCAGAUGCUAAAACAUAAAGGGUGUAAUCUCGGGGGAAAGGCAAGUUACAUGCUUCACAAUCCUUCCUUCACGGGAGGAAAUAGUUCCUUCCAAAUAAAGUAGAGGAAAUAAAAUACACUUUCACUUCAAGGCUGUCUGUUGGUAUUAAUUUGUUAGAAGAAAGGAACAGGGCUGGCUCAGACUAAUUCAUUGCCUUAGGCAAAAAAUAAUUUUGUCCUCUCUUUGAAUAUGGUUGCAUGUAGCAGGAGAGUUUGGAUGUCAUUCUAAACCAUGGUUUAGCAUGAUGAAUAUAAGAUCUAGUGAACCUUAGGCUUAUGAGCUUUCCUCACGGCCAUCCCUUCUCCUCCUCUGGCACAGCCUUGAAGAAUUCAGAAGCAUCCUCUUCCAUUUUUGUUUAAUCACCAGCAACUGUGGUUAGCAUUAGCUAUGGUUUGCAUGAGUCAAAAUGGCUUCCCACCAAAGUUUAUGGAGCUGCUAUGCUUAAGCAAGCCACUGUUAAUAUUAACCACAGUUUAGGGUUUGGUAUAAAUGAGAAGCCACAUUGUGGGAAAUGGAAGUGACAACAUCUGAACUCUUCCUUUGGAUAAAGGAUAGAGGGAAUGUGCACGUCUGAGGUUCACUGGGGUCUUGUUUUCAUCCUAUUAAACCAGGGAUAGCCAGCAGAGUAUGCUGUAUGCUGUUUGGACUCCAGCUCCCCAGCCAACAUUGCCAAUGGUUAGGAGAAAUUGGAUUUUAAGUCCCCACAUCAUCCAGAGAGCACCAUAUGGACUACCUCUGCACUAAACUGUGGUUUGGCUUAGAAGUGCCUUAGGAUCUGACCUGUGGCAUCCCCUCCUUAACCCCUUUCCCCUCGUGCUGCUUAGGAAAAAUCUCCAGUUUGCAUGAUUUUUUAAAAAAUUAUUAUUCCAAGUCCGUUUGCUGUGUAAGGGGCAGCAGGGAGGAGAGGAGAGAAAAAGAGAAAGGAGGAGAAAGGAGGGCAGAAAGAAAUGAAGAUAAAUGCAUACAGAGAGAGAGAUGGGAUGUGGCACAAACAAACUGAGUGAACCAUCACUAGCUCUGAACUUUGCAUCUGGCACAGUUCAAGAGUGGGAGUUGAAACCCAGGGACUAAAUGCUUUCAAGACUUUCUCAAGGUCACACAUCUCCACAUACCUCACCUUCUCCCCCUGGGCCACACCGACUUACCCUAGGCCACCCAUUACAUCACCUUCUUUCCCCAACUACACUUUUCUUUCACCUCCUCACCGGUCUUGCUUCACACACCCUUUAGUGUUCUUGCCUUGACAACAUGUGUUCUAGAACUCUGAUAAAUCCCUCUUCCCUGAGUGGCUGGAGGAUAGAGGUGUGUGUGCACAGAUAUGUAGGACAAACAUUUGCUACCCAUUAUGGUUAAGAAGGAGAGAGCUUAAGUACUAUGUUGGGUUUGUACGACAAGCUAAACCAAAUAUUGGUUUAGUUUCUGCUCCGUGCUGACCUAAAAAGUCUAGGGAGGAACAAAAUAACUAUGUUCUCCUCCUCAGGAACCAGAAUUUUCACGCAUUUGUGCUAAGCUUAGUCAGUGUGCCAUGUGAACAUGAUCAUAGGCCAGGAUCUAUAAAAAGGGAUUGGAAACCCCAGUUUUUCAGCUUGAUGGUAGCUCAAAGCCUAAAGACAUUUAGUCUGCUAUGCCUUUUAUUGGUGGUGGCAGUUGUGUACCAUUGAAACGGGGAAGGAAGGAAGGAGGGAAGGAAGGAAGGAAGAAAGGAGGGAAGGAAGGGGCUGACUAGAUAGGAGAGCAGAAGGAAUUCCUCUCCAGUUCAGAUUAAUAUGCAAGAGCUGGAUAAUAAUUGGGAGGUUGUAAUACUCACUUUGGGAUUAAGGCAGGCAUUACAAGACCCCCAAGUUUGUACAGUAUUCCCAAAUCUAGAAGUAAGAGCUUCAGAAAAUCUCUACAUAAUCCAGUAUGGGACACAGAAACAAAACAAAAUCCCUUUGCAAGUAUCUUCAUGCCAACACUCCUAAUUUACAUAAAUAUUAGCUGGCAAAACUCUUCCAAACCUUUCAUUAUGUUAUUAUCAUUCCCUUUUCACUUUCACAUACUUCAACAGGUAGUUUAAUAGUCAGAUUGUAUUUUUUUUUAAAGAAGACUGACAUUAAUAACGAGUGCAUUUUCUUUUCCAUUACAAUCUUUGAUAGAUGAACAAUAUAACACAUCAGGAGCAUCAUAAAUGAGUGUUAAAUCUCAAGGACACCCCAUGCUUUUGGAUGUGGAAUAAAGCAUCUUGUAGAACAGGCCAGCAUGUAGGGUUUAUUCACACUUUGAAUGGCAGAUGACUUCACUGUUUGUCUCUUGCUUGUAUCCCUGUCAGAGCCCAAGCAUAAUUUCUCUGGGAUUGAUAUCAACCUUUUUCCACAGGUCUCCUCCUAGGGAUGGAGGAUAAUUUUGUUAAAUCUGUGUUUUAACUAGAACUUAUCUUAUUUGUACACAGUGAAGGCUAGGCUGAGGGACAGUAACUGGCCCAAGGUCACUCAGUGAGCUUCAUGGCUGAAUGGGGAUUUGAACCUGGGACGUCUGGGUCCAAGUCCAACACUCUAACCACUGCACCACACUGACACACUUGACUAGGCAUUGCCAAAUCUGUGAAUUUUGGUUUCUCACUGUUUCUCAUUUUUCCAGUCUAAAGUUCCGUUCUUGAAAUUUUCAACUCAGUUUGAGAUUUAUUUGUAGAAGCCCUCAUGAAAAUUCCCCAGCAUUUGAGUGAGACCUUCUCCAAAUAUACCUAUUUUUGUAUGCAAUUUUGUCUAAUAUUCACAUUUUUAUAUGCAGCUUUUACUAAUGUAAUAUAUUUUUGUUAGUUGCUUUCACUAAGACAUGCAUGCUUUAUCCUUACGUAACUAUUUUUGUAAGCUUUAUGUGGCUGGAUUGCAAAAUUUGGAGAAGUGUAAUUUUCAAAGGGUGACAGUUUGACAUGGCACAAUCCGUUCUACCAUUUCAGGACUUUACUAUCACGUUCUGUUGCAUCUGUAGAUGGAACCUAGGUAAAUCCAGAUUAACAGAAAUGGGAGGUUCUAUACCAAAAAUGAGGAAGGCUGUUCAUGUGCAUUUAAUACCACAGGAAAGAAUAAAAAAACUGAAGGCUCUACAAAGGGGUCUGUUCUGUGCCUUAACAUCAUACAAAUAUGAGUCUGCUAGAUCAGGCCAACAGCCCAUCUAGUCCAGCAUCAUGUUCUCACAAUGGCCAACCGCAUGCUUGUGGGAAACUGGCAGAACUGGAUCACCACGUCACUCUCUGUUGAAUUGAAUUGAAUUUAUUAUUUUGGUCACAGACCAGUUCCAGCUCACAUACAUUAUCAAGGAAGUCAUAAAACAUGAUAGGGAUACAUUUGAAUUUGCAAUUAGGUAUAACAGGGACAAUACAGAUAUAACACACAGUUAAAAAAAUAUAAAUUAAAACUUAGUCACUAAAAUUCAACCUAAAAUUAUCAUUUAAGGCCUUAAUCAUUAUGAUAGCACAGAUUUGUUCCCUAAGUUUUAUGGCAAUCACACAGAAUUUGGCUACCCUUAACGUGAUCUCAGGAUCCUUGUCCUCUCCCAGGGAUUUUAGACACUGAAGUUCAGACUUGCACUCUCCAUUACUGUUGUUCCCAGAAAUUGAUAUUCUGCCUUUGACAGUGGAGUAAGAUCAUAGUCAUUGCAGCUUAAUUGUUCAAGGAACCGACUUGUGGAACUUUCUGUGUUUCUUUCUCCACCCCUUUCUGCCGCAGCAAUGCCUCUUUUUUCAGACGGUGCAAUAUAUACAAGUCCUCAAAGAAUAAAGAAUUGUUAACUUGGCUAACAGAGCAGUUUCAUGACACCCACCCACAUGUUGUUUCUUUCCAGGAAAGUGAAAGGUGUAAUUGUACUGUGAUUUCCUCCAGGAACUGAUUUUUUUUCUUGUAAACAGUAGGGCUAAAUCUUGUGUCUCACCUUUCUUCUUAAUCCGCACUCAACAGUAGGAGAGCUUAUACUGAGCCUAGCCCAGUGUUGUCAAUAUUGACUGGCAGCAGCUCUCUGGGGUUUAGGGAAGGAGUCUCUCCUAGCCCUGCCUUGUAAUGCCAGAGAUUGAACCUAGGACCUUUUGAAUGCAAAGUAUGUGCUCUGCUAGGGGUGAAAGAAGGCAUCAUUUUUCAUCCCUCCCUGUAUUUGUCACAAGCAACACUGUUUCUGUUCCACUCUGUUCCAUCUUCUGCAAAAAAAAAAAAAAAAGCUACAUUGUUUGUCUUGAAUAAUUUACGUAAUUUCCAUAAGUAAUUAUGUAAAUUAUGUCAUUACAUCAUUCCACCCUAUUCAUUUCAAUGCAAAGGAAACACAACACACAUGUGUGUUUGGGGGCAGGGAGACGUAAUCAAUUAUGUAUUGUUCUUGGACUGUAUAAAACAAUGGGGAAUACUGAUUGCAUUAUUUGGACAAAGGGAUAAAGGACAAAUAAAGGAACACCAGCAAUUUCUGCUCCCAUUUCCAUUUUUAACAGAAUUGUCUGUCAUCCUUGAACACUUCCUCCCCCCACUCUCCCCCAAACAUGCAACUGUCUACUACAGAACACAUCUUUUUCUUCAAUGGCAGGGCGUAGAUAUGAGUUCCUAACACUGGGGAAACACAACCCAUAGUGAGGGAUGAGGACAGCCAUCUCCCCCACUCCCACCAAAAUUCUCAUAUAUUAGAUAGAACAUCUAAACCACACAACAAUGGUUGUGGAAUCAGGACACACACACACCCGCCGCUGCCGCCAAAUUCUAAUAUUCCUGUUAGGUAUCUGUUCACGCAGUGAUAACCCCAUUAAAAUAUGUUGCUCUUAGGAGAUCAAACCAUUAUCUCAUGCUGAGAUGACUAGGCUAUCAGGCAAUAAAUGAUCACGAUGACGAUAAAACCAUUAUCUGAAUCUACCAUAUAUGUAUUUCCCAUCAAAUAAAUGUUAUCUGUAUCAAGCACAAAACCAGUUAGUUCUCCUAGGAAAUUACACUUCCCUUAUAAAAUAUACUUUAACCUAGUGGUCUCUCUCUCUCUCUCUCUCUCUCUCUCUCUCU